AGAAACCGCAUCAGUUCUGUGAAACGCUGAAGCUUCGGCCCUGAUGGAGGAACGUCUGUACAGUACUGCUGAAGGUUUCUGCCAUUCAAGAUUCCAGAUGCAUGAGAGAAAAUCUGCUUCAUUUCUGUGUGAAUCUGACUGCUGAUUAGUGGAAAUGAGGUCAACUUUAUGCAGAUUCCCCCUCAUUCGCCCUGUUUGGAUCAGAACUCUGAGAGGCGCGACGCAUCAAACGCGGUGAAAUCCACAGAUCUUGUCAAAUCUAAGCACGGUUUGAGACAUUAUUGAGAUUUCUUCGGAAAACCUUCUCAGGAGUUACAUCUGAUGGGUACGUCUCCAUUUGAUCUCCAUUUGAUCUCACGUCGCUGUCUGGGAGAAACCACUGAGACAUUGUUUUUAUAUAUGUCAUGGUGUGAACGGCAAAACUGGACUCUGAGAUUCUGCUGUUUUCUUAAAAAGUCCACUGACAUAAAGCAUGAGAUUGUCAUGCUUCUGCUCUCGGUGCAGGUGUGCGGCUGCAGAGAGAAACAGAGAGAGAGAGACGAGAGAAGAAAGGAGAGCGAGAGAGAGUGUUAUUCAUCCCCAGGGGGCACUGUUAGCCCUCCACUUCAACAUCAACAACCUGCGCCAUGUGGCCCCAAACACACACACACACACACACACACACACAUGCUCCAGCUGCAGAAGGUGCUGGUGACAGACAUUAAUUUGGUGCUUCAUAUCAUGACACAAAAGACAUCUUCCAUCAAGAGUCCACACGCCCUCCUGCUCAUCUGAGAAUCCAGAGCACAGGUGUCCGUUCGCUGCCUACAGAAACGUCAUAUGCGCAACCAGCACUUAUGAGUUGAAAAAGUUACCGCCGUAAUCCAAACUUGACAUCAAA
Labeo rohita (rohu) is the source of this 880-nucleotide long non-coding RNA. RefSeq lists it as uncharacterized. The transcript has 6 exons. Lineage: Eukaryota; Metazoa; Chordata; Actinopteri; Cypriniformes; Cyprinidae. The record is from RefSeq and is a predicted model, not a curated record.